UACGUAGGGUGCGAGCGUUGUCCGGAAUUACUGGGCGUAAAGAGCUCGUAGGUGGUUUGUCGCGUUGUUCGUGAAAACUCACAGCUUAACUGUGGGCGUGCGGGCGAUACGGGCAGACUGGAGUACUGCAGGGGAGACUGGAAUUCCUGGUGUAGCGGUGGAAUGCGCAGAUAUCAGGAAGAACACCCGUGGCGAAGGCGGCUCUCUGGGACGUGACUGACGCUGAGACGCGAAAGCGUGGGGAGCGAACAGU
Molecule: ribosomal RNA, 253 nt
Filed under: uncultured bacterium
Lineage: Bacteria
Description: partial 16S ribosomal RNA
Rfam family: Bacterial small subunit ribosomal RNA
Source: RNAcentral